RNAcentral lists this unclassified non-coding RNA (404 nucleotides) under plant metagenome. Its description in RNAcentral is "partial contains 5.8S ribosomal RNA, internal transcribed spacer 2, and large subunit ribosomal RNA". The stretch from base 1 to 103 matches the Rfam family "5.8S ribosomal RNA", at positions 50 to 154 of the family's 154-position model. The record is from RNAcentral.
GAAAUGUGAAACGUAGUGUGAAUUGCAGUAUUGUGAAUCAUCGAGUCUUUGAACGCACAUUGCACCUUUCGGUACUCCGGAAGGUAUACUUGUUUGAGUGCCAGCUUCAUUUCUCCGCCGAGCCUGGUCUCUGAGCUCUGGCCUUGCGUUCUGGCGCAGGGCGGGAGGGACGAGCCGGGCCUGGGUUUGGGCAUGUCUUGGGCCAGAUUUGGGCCAAGUCGCCUUAAAAGAAAUGGGCGCUAACGGAAUCAUCGAGUUUGCUCCCGUCUUUAUCCACUGCCAGUUCCAGGGCAAAUGGGAUGGGUGCAAGAUGGUUCGAGGAGCGCGUCCCUCUGGGACAAAACCGCUGGAAACACCGCUGAACUUGGCCUCAAAUCAAGUAAGAGUACCCGCUGAACUUAAGC